CGGCGGGGCGGGAGGAGCCGAGGGAGGAGCCGAGCGCUCUUGAGCACUGAAGAUCUCCCAGCAAUGCCAGCAGAAGACGUGUGCUGAAGUACGGAGGUGCGUGGCUGUGCCGCAUGGGGAGAGGGCGUUCCUGUUCAUGACUGAUCUUUCCUGCUCAGCAACUGCUUGGUGCUGAUAGAACUGUGAGGAAACAUGCGCUGGAAGUCCUGCUGAUGUCUAAAAGCCUCAGGAUUUGGUGAGCACAAAGAUAAAAAGCUAAAUCUGUGCAAGGAAGCCUGGAGCAUCU
This 286-nucleotide long non-coding RNA is filed under the name Gallus gallus (chicken). RNAcentral's name for it is "long non-coding RNA NONGGAT009340". Lineage: Eukaryota; Metazoa; Chordata; Aves; Galliformes; Phasianidae. The record is from RNAcentral.